RNAcentral lists this ribosomal RNA (799 nucleotides) under uncultured bacterium. Its description in RNAcentral is "bacterial SSU rRNA". It matches the Rfam family "Bacterial small subunit ribosomal RNA", at positions 8 to 796 of the family's 1533-position model. The record is from RNAcentral.
AGAGUUUGAUCAUGGCUCAGAGUGAACGCUGGCGGUAGGCCUAACACAUGCAAGUCGAACGGCAGCACAAGAGAGCUUGCUCUCUGGGUGGCGAGUGGCGGACGGGUGAGGAAUACGUCGGAAUCUACCUUUUCGUGGGGGAUAACGUAGGGAAACUUACGCUAAUACCGCAUACGACCUACGGGUGAAAGCGGAGGACCUUCGGGCUUCGCGCGGAUAGAUGAGCCGACGUCGGAUUAGCUUGUUGGCGGGGUAAAAGCCCACCAAGGCGACAAUCCGUAGCUGGUCUGAGAGGAUGAUCAGCCACACUGGAACUGAGACACGGUCCAGACUCCUACGGGAGGCAGCAGUGGGGAAUAUUGGACAAUGGGCGCAAGCCUGAUCCAGCCAUACCGCGUGGGUGAAGAAGGCCUUCGGGUUGUAAAGCCCUUUUGUUGGGAAAGAAAUCCUGCCGGUUAAUACCCGGUAGGGAUGACGGUACCCAAAGAAUAAGCACCGGCUAACUUCGUGCCAGCAGCCGCGGUAAUACGAAGGGUGCAAGCGUUACUCGGAAUUACUGGGCGUAAAGCGUGCGUAGGUGGUUCGUUAAGUCUGAUGUGAAAGCCCCGGGCUCAACCUGGGAAUUGCAUUGGAUACUGGCGGGCUAGAGUGCGGUAGAGGAUGGCGGAAUUCCCGGUGUAGCAGUGAAAUGCGUAGAGAUCGGGAGGAACAUCCGUGGCGAAGGCGGCCAUCUGGACCAGCACUGACACUGAGGCACGAAAGCGUGGGGAGCAAACAGGAUUAGAUACCCUAGUAGUCC